UGGCCACUAAAACGUGGUGGGUGGCCACUGAAACCUGCCUGCCCACGUGCCCCAGGACUCUGAGUGAGAAGGUGUCCCCAAACCAGGGGGUGUCCCCAAACCGGGGGGUGUCCCCAAACCAGGAGGUGUCCCCAAACCAGGAGGUGUCCCCAAACCAGGAGGUGUCCCCAAACCAGGAGGUGUCCCCAAACCAGGAGGUGUCCCCAAACCAGGAGGUG
Molecule: non-coding RNA, 218 nt
Filed under: Calypte anna (Anna's hummingbird)
Lineage: Eukaryota; Metazoa; Chordata; Aves; Apodiformes; Trochilidae
Description: Bag-1 internal ribosome entry site (IRES)
Rfam family: Bag-1 internal ribosome entry site (IRES)
About the family: This family represents the bag-1 internal ribosome entry site (IRES). When expressed the BAG-1 protein is known to enhance the anti-apoptotic properties of Bcl-2.
Source: Rfam by way of RNAcentral